Strigops habroptila (Kakapo) is the source of this 138-nucleotide long non-coding RNA. RefSeq lists it as uncharacterized. The transcript has 3 exons. The record is from RefSeq and is a predicted model, not a curated record. Lineage: Eukaryota; Metazoa; Chordata; Aves; Psittaciformes; Psittacidae.
AUCAUAGAAUGGUUUGAUUUGGAAGGGAUUUUAAAGCUCAUCUCGUUCCAAUCCCCUGUCAUGGACAGGGACACGUUCCACUAGACCAAGUUGCCCCAGGUCCUGUCCAACCUGGCCUUGAACACUGCCAGGGAUGGG